GAGAGGAGGGGAAGCCCUGCUAAGGCUUCGCGCUGGCCAGCGAUCUUCUCCCAGGAUCUCCAGGAAGAAAAUCGGGAAUCGGGAAUUCUUCUUCCCUACGGGGCCGAGUCCCUGGAAGCCUCCUAGACACAGUGUGCGCAUGCGUGUGCGCACGUGCCCGUGUCGCGGGGAGGUGGCCGGGGUGCCGGGGAGGUUUCCCAGAUCGCUGUCCGGUUCGAGGCCUGCUCGGUCUCGCGGGCUCUCAGCCCCAGCCUCCCUUGCCCGGCCCCGGCCCCACUGCCAGCCGCCGGCCACAGCCGUUUGUUGUGGCAGAUGUUCGGCUGUGCCAUGGCGACGCCAGAACAGGAUGUACCUCUGGAUCGCGUCAGGGACCAGCCCACGCUCACGGGCCGCCCACGCCGUUCCCUUCCCCGGAGGCUUGUUGUGAAGAACCACGCGGGUCUGGGUCGGGGUGGGGGGACGGACGGUGUUUGCAUCUGGAGAGAGGCAGAGGCAGGGUCCUCCGAGUGGGCAGGGGAGGGGGAGCGUAUGUGUGCGCAUCCCAGCCGAGUACCUACCCGCUCUGCUCUCCAGAGCCGUGCACAGGAAGCAGGGUGGGGAGGAGAGCCGUCCAUCAGCGGCGUCUGAUCUGUGGGCGUCUGGCCGGAGACCAGCGUCCUCCCCGCUGGAGCAUUACUCUGUGUCGGGCCAGUGAAACUUGAGUCCCAGGGAGGUGAAGUCCCUUGCUCCAGGUCACAGAAUAGGUGAGUCAGGGAGCUCGUGCUGGGACCCCGGCCUGCCUUGUUCCGAAGCCCUUGGUUGGAAGGGGGAUCCUGCCGGGGCUGGCUACAUGAUUUGCAGGGCCCAACGCAAAAUGGAAAGGCCUGGUCUUUGUCGAGGAAUUACGGGGAUUUCAGAAGAGCGAUAGCGGAGACUUAGGCCAAUCGCGAUGCCCUUGUUAAGUGCAGAGCCCUGUGCCGCGGACCACGAAGCCAGCCCUGGACGCUUCCCUGCCACGCCAAAUACUCAGAGGGUGGGCCUGAGCGGCCUGGAGAAGCUCACAGACCAGGGUAGUGAGGCACUACCAUCCGGGAUCUCCCUGUCCAUUCCCGGGCCGUGCUAGCUCGUCAGAGGGGCCCAAAGACCUUCCCCCGCAAAAUGCCUAGCCCAGUCCCCUGGAACCAGGAGCCUGGGAGCUUGUCCUGCGAAUCGUAGCUCAAUACAAAAGCAUCCUUUCAUUAGCUCUUUAUGUUUCCCUUUUUAAUUUUAUUUAUUUAUUUUUGUAAAAGUUUGUAUUUAAGUAAUCUCUGUACCCCCACAUGGGGCUCCAAUUCGCAACCCUGAGAUCAAGAGUCACAUGCUUUCUGACUGAGCCAGCCAGGCGCCCCCCCCCCUUUUUUAAUAAAAGUAACACAACCCUGCUUGCUGCACAGAUGUUGGAAAAUAGGUAAAAGGAGGAAAAAACAUAAACCUUGAAUCCUACCUGUCCAACUCCAUUUCUGUUAGCAGGUGGUAUAUUUCCUUCUUGUCUUUUGCAAGAGGGUUUUCUGUCAGGACCCCCCAGGGAUGAAAUAGAUGGCCUCCUCUUUGUCCCCAAGGCAUGACACAUGGCCGGGGAGCUGAGAAUGGGGGAAGAAUGCAAGAAUGGAUGGAUGUGCUAAAGGGACCUUGCUUGGGUGACCUUUCAGAUUCUUUUGGACUCUGAGCAACUCAGGAUUCUUAGAGUCAUAGCUAAUGCCCCGUAUUGACCUAAGUUUCAGUCAAAUGUGCCAAGCCCUUGCUGGGGUCCAGGUGGUGACAGACACUGCCCUUGCCCCGGAGGAACUUGGUUUAGGCAGGCAUGGGUGUCCCCAAACUUUCUAGGCCUUAGUGAAUGAAACUACGGUUCACUGUCACAGCGUAUUUCAUUCAUUUGCUCACUCGUUCACAAUCGUGAGGUAUUUAUUGAGCACCUGCUAUGCUAAGCAUUGCACUAAGUACACGGUGGGCUAUUAUCUUUGGGGAGAGGGUGGUGGGGUAGAAAGUAGAUGAAUUUGGAGUCAGACACCCUGGACCUCUGUCCCUUUCUGGCUGUGGGGCUCUGACCCAUACUCCCUAACCCUCUGAGCUUCCAACCCUCGUUUGUAAAACGGGCUCAUAUCUGCUGUGCGGACCACCGCUUGUCAGUAGUAGGUGCUCGGUGUACGUUACUUCCUUCCUGCCUCCCUCCCCUCCGUCCCUCCUGCCCAGUACCAACAAUAACGGCCACCGUCGAUUCGGCGUGGACGGUGUGCCAGGCAAAAGGGGGUUCCGUACAUUAUUGGCUAAUUCUCAAAUCACCGGCUCCAUGAGGUAGGUAACAUUGUUCUUAACCCAUUGAUAUCCGAUUUCAAAACUAGAGGGAGCUCACCACCUCCAACAUACCACCUGCAGGAGAACGUGUCUCUUAGCACCAGGGCCCCCUGCAUCCUUUUCUGUGCCCGGAGGCUGCUUGUGCCAACACCAACAUUUUAUCUGCUGGAACCGUGUACAACAAGAGGACCUUCGAGCUGAAAUGGGACCCUUUAUAGAUAUACUUCAGGAUGCACGAGCAGUUUCCCUUUAAAGGCAAAAAAAAAAAAACAAAACAAAAAACAAAACAAAACCCAAAAAUGGUGGAUACGACUUGGGCAAGAGACACACACCUUAUGUUGUCCAAAUAGCCUUUGGAGCUGGACGUAGGUCAGAUUUCCCAGGGGCGGGAGGGAGGCUUCAUUUCUGACUCCUGUGCUUUCUUGCUGACACCUAUAGGGAGAUCAAGAAUGCAGCUUCAGCUUGCUUGGCAAGGUUUUAGGUGGGGAAGAAGCAGUACUGACUGGCUUCACCGCUUUCCACAUGUGACCACGGGCCAAUCACUUACACUCUGCAGGCCCGUCUCUUCACGCGUAAACUGCGGGUAACAUCAACAGGGCUGUCUGAAGGACUCAGUGGGACUCCUUCCGUGAAGUGCUGGGUACACAGAAGGACCAGUAGAAUCUGCUCCCUACCGCUGGGGCACAGGGUGCGUGGCUGGUCUUUCCUGGGCAGGAGGCGUCUUUAGGAAGGGCUUCCCCUCCCACUGCCUUCCGAAAUGCCGUUCUCCAAGCUCUGCCUUCUGGAGUCCCCUCCAAGCAUCUUGCCAAGAGGGGCUUCUCUGGGCGUAAACACAAACAGGCAGGAGCGUCCUCGUGUGCAAAACUACCCCCCCGGCUGGAGGCGUGAUCUGGGAUCUCGCUCCACCUCAGGACUGUUACUCUUGGGGGUGAAAUCGGGGUAAAGUCAGCCAAUUGUAGGAACAUUCUGCUAGGGCCCUGGGUAAAUGAGUAUCUGGUGGGUUUUGGCAACACCCCCGCAUUCUGUUAGAGGGAUGUGGGUGUUGUCUCUAGAAAGCAUGCAUGGAAUGUGAUUGUAACCAGCUAAGUGGAAGCCUGCUCCACUGUGUCACAUUCUUAUUUUGAUGGUGUUUGAACUUGGCCUUUAGAAUUCCCAGGGAAUCCAUCGGGAACAUACAGAGUGCUGGGCCUGAUCCCUGGGCUCUGAUUCAUAUUUGGAGCCUGAAGAGAAUUUAUGAGGUGUCUCCAGCCUUGCCAACGAAGACUGUCCUGAACCAUGACCCUCGGUGGUUUGAUUUCAAAAACAUCUUACAGAAAGGACUGCCCCGCAGCUUCCUGGCGUGGCCCAUUAGAACCACCUCCCCAAACCUUCUGCUUUGAUUUCAUACUCAAGAAGCAAUUCCUGACCAUAGUUUGGCUUCAAAUGUAGAUUCGCCUAGAGGACUCAAUGUGCUAAUUGGCAAGGGAGAGUAAUCUGACCUGCUUGACGGCUAAUAAUUCUUGUUCUAAAGUAAUCAGCUUGCAUUCCGGUUUAUCCAUCUGUCUUCUGGGAGUCCAGGUGACAGACCCAGCAAGCCGGGGUGAACUCAACAAAGUAUUUCGCGGAUCCACAGGCACUGGAAUUCAGUGGUCGCGCCAAGGUCCCUGUGGCAGACGGUGCUGCCCGCCAAGCACGUGUGCCCGUACACCUCCCGGCGGUCUGGACGUGUGAUGUAUUGCGUCCAAAGGCCGUGAAGAAUGAGAGUCCCCAUGCUCUUUCCCCCGACUGCACAGCCAGAAGCAAAGAACACCAAGAUAGCACAGGGUUUAAAACGCCAAGUAGCUCAGCUUCAUGAGUCACCAAGGCUGGAGAGCCACCCAAAGGUCCUGACCUGCCAUGGAUUGUGACCUGGGCGUGAGAUAAGCCUCUGUUGUGUGUAGCAACUGAAGUUCCCUGGGAUUCCUGCCUCGGUCGCUAGCGAUAAUUAGCCUCCACAGUCCCCUCCCCCGUGACGUGUGGCUGGCAUAGCUUAGGUGGGUCUGAGGAGCUAGUUAGCUGUCUUCUGCUUGUGCAAGAAGAGACACCAGCCAGCGUCCAAGUCCCAUGACCACCCGCAAGUGGGCCUGUUCUUCCUCACUGACAAAACCAGGAGGAAAACCAGACAAUUCCUGGAGGAGCUCACAUUUCUGCCCUUGGUUCUUUCUUCGGUCUAACGUGUCUGGGUUUUUCGUACAGGGCUUAGCGCACAGUAGGUGCUCAGUAAAGACUGGCUGUCGGGAUGACGCAGCUAUGUCUGACUGUCUUGGCAAGGAUUGAAGAAGCAGUUUCCUUUUGCACAAGUUCAUAGGUCAUCAAACACGUAUAAAGAAAAAGUUUAUUCUCAUCACGAGAAGCACACGAACUAUUACAGUACGCACCAACAGAAGAAAAAGUGCGUUAUGCAUCUUCUACUGCAAAUUCACAGUACAAAAGAUACUGCCUUUUAAAUAUAUAUAUAUA
Felis catus (domestic cat) is the source of this 4788-nucleotide long non-coding RNA. RefSeq lists it as uncharacterized. The transcript has 2 exons. NCBI's taxonomy places the organism in Eukaryota, Metazoa, Chordata, Mammalia, Carnivora, Felidae. The record is from RefSeq and is a predicted model, not a curated record.